This 287-nucleotide ribosomal RNA is filed under the name uncultured bacterium. Its description in RNAcentral is "partial 16S ribosomal RNA". It matches the Rfam family "Bacterial small subunit ribosomal RNA", at positions 63 to 354 of the family's 1533-position model. The record is from RNAcentral.
UUUACCAGACCCGGAAGGCGCGGGCCUUAGUGGCGGACGGGUGAGUAACGCGUGGGGAACCUGCCCCGUACCGGGGGAUAACACCUGGAAACAGGUGCUAAUACCGCAUAACAGAAGGGGACGCAUGUUCCUUUCUUGAAAACUCCGGUGGUACGGGAUGGACCCGCGUCUGAUUAGCUGGUUGGCGGGGUAACGGCCCACCAAGGCGACGAUCAGUAGCCGGCCUGAGAGGGCGGACGGCCACAUUGGGACUGAGACACGGCCCAAACUCCUACGGAAGGCAGCAG